This is a long non-coding RNA of Zea mays, 1222 nucleotides long. RefSeq lists it as uncharacterized. The record is from RefSeq and is a predicted model, not a curated record. NCBI's taxonomy places the organism in Eukaryota, Viridiplantae, Streptophyta, Magnoliopsida, Poales, Poaceae. The transcript is spliced from 2 exons.
CCGCCUUUGCCUUGGUGAAGAAAAGUCGCCGCGUUCCUCUUGCCUGAUGAAAUCCUCUUCUCGUCUCGAUCCGAGCCUCCGCGUGGCUUCACGAUCAGAUGCUUGGUCCGAUCGAACAACGGUGAGUCUUGCUCUGUUACUUGAUUGUUCGAAACGCAUGGUUUUGUUUUGUGAUGAUGUGCAGGUUCCGAUCUGUUUCGUUUGAUUGAUGAGUUGACGACGCAUCGGCUCGAAGCGAGACGAGGCUGCAUGGUUUUUGUGCCUGGAGGUUUCUGAUCCGUCGAAUUGAUAUCUGCCGACCUUCAGAGCUACGACGUUCCGGGGGAAUCUGGAUCUUGACGGACUGGACAAUUGGGAGGCGUCGACGGACUUCUAAAGCAUGACUGGACAAUUGUGUGAUGUGACAUCUUGAAAGCCUUUGCCAUGUUGGGUGCGCUCGCAUGGCAGGCAUCAUAAUAAAGAUGUUGGUUUUGUGUGCUGGGUGGGAGAUCGCACGGGGAAUUGUUUUUUCAUCCCUGGGUUCUCCCGCCCUUUGUGUCCCCGUGCCGUGCUUCGUGUUGUUUGGCUUCUCGUUCUAUGCUUCAUCACCGGUGCUGCUGCAAAUUGAACGGAUCUUCUCGUCUCGCGGCGUGCUGCAAAUUGAACGGGGCUACAUCGCAACGCAACACAACACGCAAGUUAGUUUAUAUGAUACAUCGUCGUCACCGCAUGAAGAUCUACUGCUGAGCCAUAUGAAGAUCAACUGCAGUGCCUACACGAUGGACGGAGUAUUUAUAAGCUUUCUUUCUUGAUCACCGGACAGGGAAGAAAUUUUCUGCUCAAGCUCACAAUUAGAUACUAGACACAACUCAGAUAAGAGCUUGUUCAACUUGCACUAUAGUUCUUUUGAGUACUUACCUAUUAUUGAUUUCUCUUGAGGUGAAGCUAGGUUUCAAAUAUCUCCUAAGGUUUCGUAUAGGUGAAAACCAGUGAUUCUCUUUUUUUUCACUACAAUCUGUGACGUUUCAUGCCCUUACUUUGAGCUUUCUCCUUAGUGAGUUUAUUCUUAAUUCCUUCUUAAUUUUCCUCUUUUCCAAAUCAAAAGAUGUGUUGACUUUCCAGAUGUUUUUCCCUCCUUAAAAUUAAAAGAUGUUUUGACUUUCCAUUUUUUGCUAUGCAUUUAGUUAAAUCUACAUUGUAGAUAAACAAAUGUUUGUGAAUAAGUAAAAAUGCCUUAUUUGGU